UCGCGGCCUAUCAGCUUGUUGGUGGGGUAAUGGCCUACCAAGGCGACGACGGGUAGCCGGCCUGAGAGGGUGACCGGCCACACUGGGACUGAGAUACGGCCCAGACUCCUACGGGAGGCAGCAGUGGGGAAUAUUGCACAAUGGGCGCAAGCCUGAUGCAGCGACGCCGCGUGGGGGAUGACGGCCUUCGGGUUGUAAACCUCUUUCAGUAGGGACGAAGCGCAAGUGACGGUACCUACAGAAGAAGCACCGGCCAACUACGUGCCAGCGGCCGCGGUAAUACGUAGGGUGCGAGCGUUGUCCGGAAUUACUGGGCGUAAAGAGCUCGUAGGUGGUUUGUCACGUUGUUCGUGAAAACUCACAACUCAAUUGUGGGCGUGCGGGCGAUACGGGCAGACUUGAGUACUGCAGGGGAGACUGGAAUUCCUGGUGUAGCGGUGGAAUGCGCAGAUAUCAGGAGGAACACCGGUGGCGAAGGCGGGUCUCUGGGCAGUAACUGACGCUGAGGAGCGAAAGCGUGGGGAGCGAACAGGAUUAGAUACCCUGGUAGUCCACGCCGUAAACGGUGGGUACUAGAUGUGGGAUUCCUUCCUUGGGUUCCGUGUCGUAGCUAACGCAUUAAGUACCCCGCCUGGGGAGUACGG
RNAcentral lists this ribosomal RNA (644 nucleotides) under uncultured Actinomycetes bacterium. RNAcentral describes it as "bacterial SSU rRNA". It matches the Rfam family "Bacterial small subunit ribosomal RNA", at positions 231 to 885 of the family's 1533-position model. Lineage: Bacteria; Bacillati; Actinomycetota; Actinomycetes. The record is from RNAcentral.